This 370-nucleotide long non-coding RNA is filed under the name Mytilus galloprovincialis (Mediterranean mussel). The record is from RNAcentral. Lineage: Eukaryota; Metazoa; Mollusca; Bivalvia; Mytilida; Mytilidae.
GAAGGUGAACACAAACUCGUAAAAAACAUAAACACCAAUAAAGCUACAGGACCAGAUACUAUCGCUGGCAAAAUACUGAGGGAAAACAUCGAAAUAACCUCAGACAUAAUUAGACUGGAACAAUGCAAACGUUACACCAGUAUAUAAAAAGGAGACAAACAUCAUCCUGGUAAUUAUAGAACAAUCUCACUAACCUGCAUCUCAUGUAAAUUACUUGAAAAUAUACUAGCUAGCAACAUGAUGAAACACCUCGAAUCGAAUAAUAUACUUUAUGAACUACAACACGGAUUUAGAGCAAAAAGCUCAUGCGAAUCUCAAGCAAUAUCUCUUAUACACCAACAGCUCAAAACAACAAUAAAAAUAUACAAAC